GAAGAGCACUCCUACGGGGAGGCAGGCAGUGGGGAAUAUUGGCACAAUGGGCGCAAGCCUGAUGCAGCCAUGCCGCGUGUAUGAAGAAGGCCUUCGGGUUGUAAAGUACUUUCAGCAGUGAGGAAGGUGGAUAUGUUAAUAGCAUAUUCAUUUGACGUUAGCUGCAGAAGAAGCACCGGCUAACUCCGUGCCAGCAGCCGCGGUAAUACGGAGGGUGCGAGCGUUAAUCGGAAUUACUGGGCGUAAAGCGCAUGCAGGUGGUUUGUUAAGUCAGAUGUGAAAGCCCGGGGCUCAACCUCGGAAUUGCAUUUGAAACUGGCAAACUAGAGUACUGUAGAGGGGGUAGAAUUUCAGGUGUAGCGGUGAAAUGCGUAGAGAUCUGAAGGAAUACCGGUGGCGAAGGCGGCCCCCUGGACAGAUACUGACACUCAGAUGCGAAAGCGUGGGGAGCAAACAGGAUUAGAUACCCUCGGUAG
Molecule: ribosomal RNA, 476 nt
Filed under: uncultured bacterium
Lineage: Bacteria
Description: bacterial SSU rRNA
Rfam family: Bacterial small subunit ribosomal RNA
Source: RNAcentral